RNAcentral lists this ribosomal RNA (406 nucleotides) under uncultured bacterium. RNAcentral describes it as "partial 16S ribosomal RNA". It matches the Rfam family "Bacterial small subunit ribosomal RNA", at positions 29 to 526 of the family's 1533-position model. The record is from RNAcentral.
AUUGAACGCUGGCGGCAGGCCUAACACAUGCAAGUCGAACGAGUGGCGGACGGGUGAGUAAUGUCUGGGAAACUGCCUGAUGGAGGGGGAUAACUACUGGAAACGGUAGCUAAUCCCGCCUACCAUCAGAUGUGCCCAGCGGGGAUUAGCUAGUUGGUGGGGUACCGGCUCACCCAGGCGACGAUCCCUAGCUGGUCUGAGAGGAUGACCAGCCACACUGGAACUGAGACACGGGCCAGACUCCUACGGGAGGCAGCAGUGGGGAAUAUUGGACAAGGGGCGCAAGCCGGAUGCGGCAAGGCCGGGUGUAUGAAGAGGGCCUUCGGGUUGUAAAGUACGUUAAGUUGGGAGGCGUUACCAACAGAAUAAGCACCGGCUAACUACGUGCCAGCAGCCGCGGUAAUAC